GAUGAACGCUGGCGGCGUGCCUAAUACAUGCAAGUCGAGCGAACAGACGAGGAGCUUGCUCCUCUGACGUUAGCGGCGGACGGGUGAGUAACACGUGGAUAACCUACCUAUAAGACUGGGAUAACUUCGGGAAACCGGAGCUAAUACCGGAUAAUAUAUUGAACCGCAUGGUUCAAUAGUGAAAGACGGUUUUGCCGGCACUUAUAGAUGGAUCCGCGCCGCAUUAGCUAGUUGGUAAGGUAACGGCUUACCAAGGCAACGAUGCGUAGCCGACCUGAGAGGUGGAGCGGCCACACUGGAACUGAGACACGGUCCAGACUCCUACGGGAGGCAGCAGUAGGGAAUCUUCCGCAAUGGGCGAAAGCCUGACGGAGCAACGCCGCGUGAGUGAUGAAGGUCUUCGGAUCGUAAAACUCUGUUAUUAGGGAAGAACAAAUGUGUAAGUAACUAUGCACGUCUUGACGGUACCUAAUCAGAAAGCCACGGCUAACUACGUG
RNAcentral lists this ribosomal RNA (497 nucleotides) under uncultured bacterium. Its description in RNAcentral is "partial 16S ribosomal RNA". It matches the Rfam family "Bacterial small subunit ribosomal RNA", at positions 28 to 507 of the family's 1533-position model. The record is from RNAcentral.